CCUACGGGAGGCAGCAGUGGGGAAUAUUGCACAAUGGGGGAAACCCUGAUGCAGCGACGCCGCGUGAGUGAAGAAGUAAUUCGGUAUGUAAAGCUCUAUCAGCAGGGAAGAAAAUGACGGUACCUGAGUAAGAAGCCCCGGCUAACUACGUGCCAACAUCCGCGGUAAUACGUAGGGGGCAAGCGUUAUCCGGAUUUACUGGGUGUAAAGGGAGCGUAGACGGCAGUGCAAGUCUGGAGUGAAAGGCGGGGGCUCAACCCCCGGACUGCUCUGGAAACUGUACGGCUGGAGUGCAGGAGAGGUAAGUGGAAUUCCUAGUGUAGCGGUGAAAUGCGUAGAUAUUAGGAGGAACACCAGUGGCGAAGGCGGCUUACUGGACUGUAACUGACGUUGAGGCUCGAAAGCGUGGGGAGCAAACAGGAUUAGAUACCCUUGUAGUC
Molecule: ribosomal RNA, 440 nt
Filed under: uncultured bacterium
Lineage: Bacteria
Description: partial 16S ribosomal RNA
Rfam family: Bacterial small subunit ribosomal RNA
Source: RNAcentral